AACGCUAGCGGCAGGCCUAACACAUGCAAGUCGAGGGGUAACAGGAAAGCUUGCUUUUGCUGACGACCGGCGCACGGGUGCGUAACGCGUAUGCAACCUACCUCAUACUGGAGCAUAGCCCUUGGAAACGGGGAUUAAUACUCCAUGGUAUCAUGAAUUCGCAUGUUUUUAUGAUUAAAGAAUUUCGGUAUGAGAUGGGCAUGCGUCCCAUUAGCUAGUUGGUGAGGUAACGGCUCACCAAGGCGACGAUGGGUAGGGGGCCUGAGAGGGUGGUCCCCCACACUGGUACUGAGACACGGACCAGACUCCUACGGGAGGCAGCAGUGAGGAAUAUUGGUCAAUGGAGGCAACUCUGAACCAGCCAUGCCGCGUGAAGGAUGACGGCCCUAUGGGUUGUAAACUUCUUUUAUAUGGGAAGAAACUUAUCUACGUGUAGAUAACUGACGGUACCAUACGAAUAAGGAUCGGCUAACUCCGUGCCAGCAGCCGCGGUAAUACGGAGGAUCCAAGCGUUAUCCGGAUUCAUUGGGUUUAAAGGGUCCGUAGGCGGAUUUUUAAGUCAGUGGUGAAAGCCGACAGCUCAACUGUCGAACUGCCAUUGAUACUGGAAAUCUUGAGUACAAAUGAAGUAGGCGGAAUGAGUCAUGUAGCGGUGAAAUGCAUAGAUAUGACUCAGAACACCAAUUGCGAAGGCAGCUUACUAACAUGUAACUGACGCUGAGGGACGAAAGCGUGGGGAGCGAACAGGAUUAGAUACCCUGGUAGUCCACGCCGUAAACGAUCAUCACUCGCUGUUGGCGAUAUACAGUCAGCGGCCAAGCGAAAAGUAUUAAGUGAUGCACCUGGGGAGUACGCC
Molecule: ribosomal RNA, 856 nt
Filed under: uncultured Bacteroidota bacterium
Lineage: Bacteria; Pseudomonadati; Bacteroidota
Description: bacterial SSU rRNA
Rfam family: Bacterial small subunit ribosomal RNA
Source: RNAcentral